UGACCUCAAAUUCCCGGAUAUUGUCCUUAGCGGGUAGGGUUAUUGUAGAUGCACUGCCAACAUUUAAGUAUGACUUCCAAUGUGAAUACACUAAUAGCACAGUCCCAUUCUGGAUGUCAUCUUUAAGUUCUCCUGGCACAUGUUGUACAUAGUAGAAUUGUCUACUGAACCGGUGCGGGCUAUAAGGUUGGAUAACUCGGUAGUUUUCCUCUCGUAGAGAAACGUAUCUCAAACGAAGGCAUAUCAAAUGCGCAAAGUCUUCUUUGGAAAUAUGGUCUUCAUCAGUCAGUCGUUUGCACUCUGAAAACACUCUUGCCAGAUGACUCAUUUCU
RNAcentral lists this long non-coding RNA (332 nucleotides) under Prunus persica (peach). RNAcentral's name for it is "long non-coding RNA (PPER_LNC000310)". The record is from RNAcentral. Lineage: Eukaryota; Viridiplantae; Streptophyta; Magnoliopsida; Rosales; Rosaceae.